Molecule: non-coding RNA, 336 nt
Organism: Cajanus cajan (pigeon pea)
Lineage: Eukaryota; Viridiplantae; Streptophyta; Magnoliopsida; Fabales; Fabaceae
Source: RefSeq, a predicted model, not a curated record
UUGGUCCACCUUGGUCAAUAUGGAACGUUUAUGUAUCCUUCCCAUGCUUUUUCGUGUUUGUCAGUUGCUUCUGACAUUGAAUAAUUUUCCUUCAACAGAUUUGUGCCCUGUUGUUACAUCUGCCAAAGGUAUCUCAAGCAGACACAGGCAGAGUCACAGACACCUUUCGUUGAACCAGGGAACAUCACAAACCAAUCCAAGUUGAAGAGAGCAGCUGCUUGAAGAUAGUAUGCAGUUGGCCAGGCGGGAGAUAUUGAUUGAGCUUGCAUGGCAUCUCCAAGUGCUUCUUGUGCCAUGUCAUUCAUCAGGUAGCAUAAGCAGCGCCUGGCAUACACG